RNAcentral lists this ribosomal RNA (468 nucleotides) under uncultured bacterium. Its description in RNAcentral is "partial 16S ribosomal RNA". It matches the Rfam family "Bacterial small subunit ribosomal RNA", at positions 28 to 507 of the family's 1533-position model. The record is from RNAcentral.
GACGAACGCUGGCGGCGUGCUUAACACAUGCAAGUCGAACGGAAAGGCCCUGCUUUUGUGGUGUGCUCGAGUUGCGAACGGGUGAGUAACACGUGAGUAACCUGCCCUUGACUUUGGGAUAACUUCAGUAAACUUGGGCUAAUACCGGAUAUUAGCUCCUGCUGCAUGGUGGGGGUUGGAAAGUUUCGGCGGUUGGGGAUGUACUCGCGGCUUAUCAGCUUGUUGGUGGGGUAGUGGCUUACCAAGGCUUUGACGGGUAGCCGGCCUGAGAGGGUGACCGGCGACAUUGGGACUGAGAUACGGCCAAGAAUCAUACGGGAGGCAGCAGUGGGGAAUAUUGCACAAUGGGCGGAAGCCUGAUGCAGCAACGACGCGUGCGGGAUGACGGCCUUCGGGUUGUAAACCGCUUUCGCCUGUGACGAAGCGUGAGUGACGGUAAUGGGUAAAGAAGCACCGGCUAACUACGUG